GUAACGAAUAUUCCGCAAUGGGCGAAAGCCUGACGGAGCAAUGCCGCGUGUGGGAUGAAGCGGUUUCGCCGUGUAAACCACUGUCAGGAAAUAGAAAAGAUGAUCAUUUCCAGAGGAAGGGGCGACUAACUCUGUGCCAGCAGUCGCGGUAAGACAGAGGCCCCGAGCGUUAGUCGGAAUCACUGGGCUUAAAGGGUGCGUAGGCGGGCGUGUAAGUGUCUCGUGAAAGCCCCGGGCUCAACCCGGGAACCGCGGGGCAUACUGCACGUCUCGAGGAAACUAGAGGCCGGUAGAACGAUCGGUGGAGCGGUGGAAUGCGUAGAGAUCGAUCGGAACGCCAAGGGUGAAGACAGCCGGCUGGGGUUUUCCUGACGCUGAGGCACGAAAGCGUGGGGAUCAAACAGGAUUAGAUACCCCUGUAGUCC
Molecule: ribosomal RNA, 425 nt
Filed under: uncultured bacterium
Lineage: Bacteria
Description: bacterial SSU rRNA
Rfam family: Bacterial small subunit ribosomal RNA
Source: RNAcentral